CCUACGGGGGGCUGCAGUGGGGAAUAUUGGACAAUGGGGGCAACCCUGAUCCAGCCAUGCCGCGUGUGUGAAGAAGGCCCUCGGGUUGUAAAGCACUUUCAGUGAGGAAGAACGCCUGGUGGUUAAUACCCAUCAGGAAAGACAUCACUCACAGAAGAAGCACCGGCUAACUCCGUGCCAGCAGCCGCGGUAAUACGGAGGGUGCGAGCGUUAAUCGGAAUUACUGGGCGUAAAGCGCGCGUAGGUGGCUUGAUAAGCCGGUUGUGAAAGCCCCGGGCUCAACCUGGGAACGGCAUCCGGAACUGUCAAGCUAGAGUGCAGGAGAGGAAGAUAGAAUUCCCGGUGUAGCGGUGAAAUGCGUAGAGAUCGGGAGGAAUACCAGUGGCGAAGGCGGCCUUCUGGACUGACACUGACACUGAGGUGCGAAAGCGUGGGUAGCAAACAGGAUUAGAUACCCCAGUAGUC
RNAcentral lists this ribosomal RNA (465 nucleotides) under Vreelandella stevensii. Its description in RNAcentral is "partial 16S ribosomal RNA". It matches the Rfam family "Bacterial small subunit ribosomal RNA", at positions 338 to 795 of the family's 1533-position model. The record is from RNAcentral. Lineage: Bacteria; Pseudomonadati; Pseudomonadota; Gammaproteobacteria; Oceanospirillales; Halomonadaceae.